Molecule: long non-coding RNA, 862 nt
Filed under: Pan troglodytes (chimpanzee)
Lineage: Eukaryota; Metazoa; Chordata; Mammalia; Primates; Hominidae
Description: long non-coding RNA NONPTRT011990
Source: RNAcentral
ACCGGAAAUCCUCAACCAGCUAUUUUUUGGAGGAGAGAAGGGAGUCAGGUACCACCUUUUUCUAAUUUUUUUUUUAAAUCAGCAAAGAUGGUUGCCAAGAUGUAUGAGAAGAAAAACCAACAUAUUACUUAGUCAUGCAGCUGUCACAUUAAGAGAACUGGCAAAUCUCUGAGUGCCCAGAACAUUUUAGCAAUGAGAAAGAAGACAAAAUUGUCUUCACCGCUUGAAUUCUGAAAGCAUUUUUCUCCACCUAGUUGUGGUACACAAGGUAGUAUAUAAAAUUAACCUUUAUUUCUAGCUCAGCCACAUUAAAAAGAAAUACUUCUGAAUCUAAAUUUAUUGUAGUGAUUGGAAUAAUAUUUUCACUAUCAAUUCCAAAAAGUAGAUGAAAGAGCACUUAAAGAAAGAAACAACCUGUCUCUUAGGGAAGAAAAUGGAACACGAAUAAAAGAAGAGAAGCAGGAAUAAAAGAUGCUUACUCUAUAUAUUCAGUAUUGUUGAUCUUUUAAAACUUCUGAUAAAGACUCAAAUAAUCAAUAUAAUAGAAGUUGCUUUCUAAAUUAGAAUCUGUGGAGUCAUCUUUGACUCCUCAUCUUUCUUUAUCUCUGUAUCUAUUCAAUAAUCUUUUUAAUCCAUCGAGUUGUCUUCAUCAACUCCCAGAGCUAGUCAUCUGUAGUGUGAAAUUGUAACAGCCUACUAAUUCCAUCCUGUUUCUGGUCUUCUCCCCAAAUUACAUUUUCUUGUUGUUGCUAGAAUACUGUUUCUCUAGACCACUCUUAUUUUCCCGAUUACGUAAACUGAAGUAUAAUACGCAUGCCAUGAAGUAAGUAAACUAAUGCAGCUUGAUGAAUUUAUUCAUGUC